UCUCCCGCCUUGGUUCCUUCGUUCCUUCUUCUAAUUCUUAAUUAUCUAAGCAUUGAUUCCCUCCCUCCUUGCUGCCUUCGUGAAAUUUUCCCCCAAACCCUCAAUCUUCCCCUGCUUCGUGUUCGUGGAACGUCUUCCCCUACUUGGGCUGAGCGUCGAGGUCGAGACGGCGAGUCGUCGAGGUCGAGACGGCGAGUCGUCGAGGACUCUGCUGAAGGGUACCCCUCAAACUCCUCAAUUUUAUCUCUUCAAUCUUCAUGUUCUUUUGGUAUGCAGUACCUCGAAUCCACACACGCUUUUGGUUGGUGCAAGGACCGUCGCCAUCCCUUUCUCCAUGCUCCUAAGGUUGAGCCGGUUGAGUCUGAAUGACUGUCUUGUGGAUAAAUAAAAGAUGAGGCUUGCAAAUGUGAAAGUUGGAAGAAAGGGAAACCUUAAUGUUGCCACUGAGAUAUUUCAAGUGGCACCUUCUCUUCACAUGGUUGAGGUACGGAAGGCAAAAGGAGACACAUUGGAGUUCCAUAAGUUUUACAAGAAGCUUUCAACAAGCCUGGAUGUUGUUGUUUGGAAAACAGAAGAUGAUGUGCAAAUGAGAAAAAAAAAUUGAUAUUGAUAUUGAUGUUAUUAUUAUUAUUAUUAUUAUUAUUAUCAAGUGUAAUUUUCUUCAUUUCUGAAGUUCUACUAUUUUCCAAUUUCUUCAUUCUUAUUUCCUCUAAGGUUCCUUCCUGUAGGUUUGUUUGGAAAUUCCAUAGUACUCAUAAUGUAUUUUGUACCAUGCUAUUAUUUUUGAAAGCAUGCAAUGUAAGAAUUUUACUCA
Long non-coding RNA from Vigna angularis (adzuki bean), 814 nucleotides. RefSeq lists it as uncharacterized. The transcript has 5 exons. Lineage: Eukaryota; Viridiplantae; Streptophyta; Magnoliopsida; Fabales; Fabaceae. The record is from RefSeq and is a predicted model, not a curated record.